RNAcentral lists this ribosomal RNA (253 nucleotides) under uncultured bacterium. RNAcentral's name for it is "partial 16S ribosomal RNA". It matches the Rfam family "Bacterial small subunit ribosomal RNA", at positions 524 to 776 of the family's 1533-position model. The record is from RNAcentral.
UACGUAGGGUGCAAGCGUUGUCCGGAAUUAUUGGGCGUAAAGCGCUCGUAGGCGGUUUGUCGCGUCUGCUGUGAAAACUCGGGGCUUAACCCCGGGCCUGCAGUAGGUACGGGCAGACUAGAGUGCGGUAGGGGAGACUGGAAUUCCUGGUGUAGCGGUGAAAUGCGCAGAUAUCAGGAGGAACACCGGUGGCGAAGGCGGGUCUCUGGGCCGUAACUGACGCUGAGGAGCGAAAGCGUGGGGAGCGAACAGG